RNAcentral lists this ribosomal RNA (649 nucleotides) under uncultured bacterium. RNAcentral describes it as "bacterial SSU rRNA". It matches the Rfam family "Bacterial small subunit ribosomal RNA", at positions 43 to 741 of the family's 1533-position model. The record is from RNAcentral.
CAGGCCUAACACAUGCAAGUCGAGCGGGCCUUCGGGUGAGCGGCGGACGGGUUAGUAACGCGUGGGAACGUGCCCUUUUCUACGGAAUAACCUCUGGAAACGGAUAGUAAUACCGUAUACGCCCUUUGGGGGAAAGAUUUAUCGGAGAAGGAUCGGCCCGCGUUAGAUUAUGUAGUUGGUGGGGUAACGGCCUACCAAGCCUACGAUCUAUAGCUGGUUUUAUAGGAUGAUCACCAACACUGGGACUGAGACACGGCCCAAACUCCUACGGGAGGCAGCAGUGGGGAAUCUUAGACAAUGGGGGCAACCCUGAUCUAACCAUGCCGCGUGAGUGAUGAAGGCCUUAAGGUCGUAAAGCUCUUUCGCCUGUGAUGAUAAUGACAAUAGCAGGUAAAGAAACCACGGCUAACUCCGUGCCAGCACCCGCGGUAAGACGGACGGGGUUAGCGUUGUUCGGAAUUACUGGGCGUAAAGCGCGCGUAGGCGGAUUAAAAAGUUGGGGGUGAAAUCCCGGGGCUCAACCUCGGAACUGCCUCCAAAACUGCUAGUCUAGAGUUCCAGAGACGUGAGUGGAAUUCCGAGUGUAGAAGUGAAAUUCGUAGAUAUUCAGAGGAAACCAGUGGCGAAUGCGGCUCACUGACUCUAUACU